CUUGGUUCAGGAUGAACGCUAGCGACAAGGCCUAACACAAUGCAAGUCAGGGGCGAGCACAAGGAGCAAUCUGAGGUGGCGACCGGCGGCACGGGUGAGUAACACGUAUGCAACCUGCCUGUAAGCGGGGAAUAACCCGUUGAAAGACGGACUAAUACCGCAUAAUACUAAAUUACUGCAUGGUAAUUUAUUUAAACAUUUAUGGCUUACAGAUGGGCAUGCGCAUGAUUAGCUAGUUGGAGAGGUAACGGCUCCCCAAGGCAACGAUCAUUAGGGGUUCUGAGAGGAAGGUCCCCCACACUGGUACUGAGACACGGACCAGACUCCUACGGGAGGCAGCAGUGAGGAAUAUUGGUCAAUGGACGAGAGUCUGAACCAGCCAAGUCGCGUGCAGGAAGAAUGUCCCUAUGGAUUGUAAACUGCUUUUGCAGGGGAAUAAAGUGCAUCACGUGUGAUGUUUUGUAUGUACUCUGCGAAUAAGGAUCGGCUAACUCCGUGCCAGCCGCUGC
RNAcentral lists this ribosomal RNA (509 nucleotides) under uncultured bacterium. Its description in RNAcentral is "bacterial SSU rRNA". It matches the Rfam family "Bacterial small subunit ribosomal RNA", at positions 18 to 518 of the family's 1533-position model. The record is from RNAcentral.